Corapipo altera (White-ruffed manakin) is the source of this 1374-nucleotide long non-coding RNA. RefSeq lists it as uncharacterized. The record is from RefSeq and is a predicted model, not a curated record. Lineage: Eukaryota; Metazoa; Chordata; Aves; Passeriformes; Pipridae. The transcript is spliced from 2 exons.
UAUAUAUAUAUAUAUUUACACGGAGCGUGCGAUGGCGGGAGAGGAGAAUUCCCAGCUUUGCAUCCGCCUCGGGAGCUGAGGGGGGGGGGGGGGACUGGGAUGAGGGAAUAUUGCACUGUCCUUGGAGCAGGGGAAGGAUUCAGGAAGACACGACUGAGAAAAUCAGGAUGCUGCCGGAGCGGGAGAGCCGCUCUCUCUCCCUCUCUCUCCCUCCCUCUCUCCCGGAGAGGGAUCCGCAUUCCCGGCUCUCCGGGAUCCGCAUUCCCGGCUCUCCCGGGGAGAUCCUUCUUCUUUUUUCGUUUUCAUUUUUUUUUUCUCCUGCAGAAGCCAUGAGCAAAAACUCUUCAAAUCCUUCAGGGAAUCGGGAACCGGGAACGGGAUGUCAAAAAAACUUAACCCAAUGCCUUUAACAGACGCAUUAAAAUGUACCCGGGGGGGGUGUGUGUGUGUUGGGGGGGGGGGUUUUCCCAAAAAAAAACCCCCCCCCCCCCCCCCCCCCCCCCCUCUCCCAAAUCGUUGCGGGUGGAAUUUGGGAGCGACGGGAAGAACUGAACGUCGGGAAUGAUUGUGGUGGAGCGGGAACGCCGGAAUCGCCCCGGGAACGCCGGGAGCCUCGGUGACUCCAUUCCCCGUGCUCGGAUCCCCCCUGUCACCUUGACUCAUUGCCUUAAAAACCACGUGUGGACUUGAUUCCCGGCGGGAUCUGGGCCACGGGAGCGCUUGGAUUUCUCAUGGAUUUCCUCAUGGAUCUCUCGUGGAUUUUCCGUGGAUUUUCCGUGGAUGUUGCCCCGAUGCCGGAGCGGCGGCCGCGUCUUUAUCCCGCUGUAUUUUUGCUACAAUCCUCCUACUGUUCCCCUGCUCGGCCACGUUCCCCUUGGGACUGAAUUCCCUCGGGAAUGCGCUCCCAUCCCGGCACCGGGAUGAACCCUCGAUGAUUCCUCGGAAAGGAGCUUUGGGGAAACCCGCCGGGGAAGGAUUCCCGAGGGGAAGGAUUCCCGAGGGGAGCUGCCCCGGGAGCGUCAGGAGCACAGUUUGGAAGUGGAAUUUGGGGCAGGGAUUCCGGGGGCUGCCGGGAUGAGAUGCCGGGAGUCGGAUCCCGUGUGACCCGGAUGGGCUCCGGAUUUUUUAGCCUGGAGCGUGGAGGAAAACGGGAUAUGAGGAACCUUUGGAUCAUCCCCCCCCCACCCCCUCCCCAACCCCGCAGAGGGUGUCCAGGAGUGAACUCAGGAAUUAGAAAACACGAGGCCUUUCCCGAUUUCCCGGCUUUGAUCCAUAUCCUCCCAAGUGCCGGAGCCCGGCGGGAAUUCGGGAAUUCUUGGGGGCGGGGGCUGGGAUUGGCCCCGCCCCUUUCGUUCGAGGCAAAAAAAAAAAAAA